AUGUCCUCUGUAACUGGAACAAAACACAGAAAAAUGAGUAGUCUACUAUCGUCAGAAGAAUCUCCGCAUCUCCCUGCCAAACUUCAGGGGAUCCAGAGAUUGGCAGUGCCCAAAGGCUACAAAACCCAGACCCUGCACGCCUGGCCACUGAGGGCUGAGGCUGUCACUUGGUAUGGGGGCUGUUCCCAGAGCGGUGCCGGGGGAUGUCACCCCGGGGCUGCCAGUGUCACCGAGGGCUGUCAGUGUCCCCCUGGGGUCUGUCAGUGUCCCCCGGGGCUGUCAGUGUCACCUCGGGUCUGCCAGUGUCACCGAGGGCUGCCAGUGUCCCCCUGGGAUCUGUCAGUGUCCCCCGGGGCUGCCAGUGUCACCGAGGGCUGUCGGGUCUGCCAGUGUCCCCCGGGGCUGUCAGUGUCACCGAGGGCUGUCAGCGUCCCCCUGGGGUCUGUCAGUGUCCCCCGGGUCUGCCAGUGUCCCCCUGGGGUCUGUCAGUGUCCCCCUGGGGUCUGUCAGUGUCACCUCGGGGCUGCCAGUGUCACUGAGGGCUGCCAGUGUCCCCCUGGGGUCUGCCAGUGUCCCCCGGGGCUGUCAGUGUCACCGAGGGCUGUCAGCGUCCCCCUGGGGUCUGUCAGUGUCCCCCGGGUCUGCCAGUGUCCCCCUGGGGUCUGUCAGUGUCCCCCUGGGGUCUGUCAGUGUCACCUCGGGGCUGCCAGUGUCACUGAGGGCUGCCAGUGUCCCCCUGGGGUCUGCCAGUGUCCCCCGGGGCUGUCAGUGUCACCGAGGGCUGUCAGCGUCCCCCUGGGGUCUGUCAGUGUCCCCCGGGUCUGCCAGUGUCCCCCUGGGGUCUGUCAGUGUCCCCCUGGGGUCUGUCAGUGUCACCUCGGGGCUGCCAGUGUCACUGAGGGCUGCCAGUGUCCCCCUGGGGUCUGCCAGUGUCCCCCGGGGCUGUCAGUGUCACCGAGGGCUGUCAGCGUCCCCCUGGGGUCUGUCAGUGUCCCCCGGGUCUGCCAGUGUCCCCCUGGGGUCUGUCAGUGUCCCCCUGGGGUCUGUCAGUGUCACCUCGGGGCUGCCAGUGUCACUGAGGGCUGCCAGUGUCCCCCUGGGGUCUGCCAGUGUCCCCCGGGGCUGUCAGUGUCACCGAGGGCUGUCAGCGUCCCCCUGGGGUCUGUCAGUGUCCCCCGGGUCUGCCAGUGUCCCCCUGGGGUCUGUCAGUGUCCCCGGGGGGGGGGGGGG
This 1230-nucleotide long non-coding RNA is filed under the name Ficedula albicollis (Collared flycatcher). Its description in RNAcentral is "lncRNA (ENSFALG00000027756.1)". The record is from RNAcentral. Lineage: Eukaryota; Metazoa; Chordata; Aves; Passeriformes; Muscicapidae.